RNAcentral lists this small RNA (756 nucleotides) under Pan troglodytes (chimpanzee). RNAcentral describes it as "processed transcript". Lineage: Eukaryota; Metazoa; Chordata; Mammalia; Primates; Hominidae. The record is from RNAcentral.
GCCGUCGCACACUUUGCACGCCGCCCAGGGCUACACCACUCACCGAAAAUUGGGAGGUGCUGGAGAAUCUGGUAAAAGCACCAUUGUGAAGCAGAUGAGGAUCCUGCAUGUUAAUGGGUUUAAUGGAGAGGGCGGCGAAGAGGACCCGCAGGCUGCAAGGAGCAACAGCGAUGGUGAGAAGGCAACCAAAGUGCAGGACAUCAAAAACAACCUGAAAGAGGCGAUUGAAACCAUUGUGGCCGCCAUGAGCAACCUGGUGCCCCCCGUGGAGCUGGCCAACCCCGAGAACCAGUUCAGAGUGGACUACAUUCUGAGUGUGAUGAACGUGCCUGACUUUGACUUCCCUCCCGAAUUCUAUGAGCAUGCCAAGGCUCUGUGGGAGGAUGAAGGAGUGCGUGCCUGCUAUGAACGCUCCAACGAGUACCAGCUGAUUGACUGUGCCCAGUACUUCCUGGACAAGAUCGACGUGAUCAAGCAGGCUGACUACGUGCCGAGCGAUCAGGACCUGCUUCGCUGCCGUGUCCUGACUUCUGGAAUCUUUGAGACCAAGUUCCAGGUGGACAAAGUCAACUUCCACAUGUUUGACGUGGGUGGCCAGCGCGAUGAACGCCGCAAGUGGAUCCAGUGCUUCAACGAUGUGACUGCCAUCAUCUUCGUGGUGGCCAGCAGCAGCUACAACAUGGUCAUCCGGGAGGACAACCAGACCAACCGCCUGCAGGAGGCUCUGAACCUCUUCAAGAGCAUCUGGAACAACAG